GACGAACGCUGGCGGCGUGCUUAACACAUGCAAGUCGAACGGUGAAGGGACCGGUUUUUGCUGGUUCUGGAUGAGUGGCGAACGGGUGAGUAACACGUGAGUAACCUGCCCCCUUCUUCUGGAUAACCGCAUGAAAGUGUGGCUAAUACGGGAUAUUCUGCGCCUGCUGCAUGGUGGGUGUGGGAAAGAUAUUGUUUCGGUGGGGGAUGGGCUCGCGGCCUAUCAGCUUGUUGGUGGGGUGAUGGCCUACCAAGGCGGUGACGGGUAGCCGGCCUGAGAGGGUGGACGGUCACACUGGGACUGAGACACGGCCCAGACUCCUACGGGAGGCAGCAGUGGGGAAUAUCGCACAAUGGGCGCAAGCCUGAUGCAGCGACGCCGCGUGAGGGAUGGAGGCCUUCGGGUUGUAAACCUCUUUCGCCAGUGAAGCAGGCCUGUCCCUUUUGUGGGUGGGUUGACGGUAGCUGGAUAAGAAGCGCCGGCUAACUACGUG
Molecule: ribosomal RNA, 493 nt
Filed under: uncultured bacterium
Lineage: Bacteria
Description: partial 16S ribosomal RNA
Rfam family: Bacterial small subunit ribosomal RNA
Source: RNAcentral